Hippocampus zosterae (dwarf seahorse) is the source of this 1243-nucleotide long non-coding RNA. RefSeq lists it as uncharacterized. The record is from RefSeq and is a predicted model, not a curated record. Lineage: Eukaryota; Metazoa; Chordata; Actinopteri; Syngnathiformes; Syngnathidae. The transcript has 2 exons.
GCACUGCCUCUUGUCAGUACAACUUUGACCCUCUCCUUUUUCUCUUGAUGUCCAUGGGGAGGGGUUUGCGAUUGAGACGAUUAUACGAAGAAGAACUCCUGCUGUGCUUCGUCAAUAUUCCCCUUUUCCCAGUGGUCCUCGUUCGAAUAGAAACGUUAAUUCCACCGAUUGUGAACAAAAUCGAAGUACAACUUUUGUCGUAGUUGGGGACGUGUGUGUGAUGCGCACGGCGUGCUAAGCUAGUAAACAUAACACAAAUGAAACCAGUCCUUCCAGAAGUUCCAAUGGCAAGUGUAUCGUUGUCAUAAACAAACUCUGGCCACUGUAUGCUUUUAUAUGUUAUAUUAUGUGCCAUGGAAAGACUUUAAAAUGUUUAAAAUACGUACUCACAUUGAAGACCUUCCAAGUGUAAUUAUUGUCCAUGAUCCAAAACACCUGCGCCGCAGUGCACAGAUGAGGCAAAAUGUCGAGUGCCUCUCGAGUCGAUAUUUCCUCACGUUGCGGUUAUCUUUUCGGAUGAAAAAAUAAUCGUUAUCUUGGUGAGGAAAAGUUCUUGGGUGCCUUAAUGGGAGGUGGGAGGGCUUCGUGGUUAAACUGCGGGGAGUCUCCCUCCACUUUCCUUCCCACGAGGUCUCUGUUGUGUUGGUGCCGGCUCCUCCUUUUGGGAGGAGAAUGAUGACGUCGUGUUUGGGAAGUACCGUGUAACUAUUCGUUUUUCUUCAACUGUUUUUUUCUCACUUCUAAUAAACGUAGGGGAUUAUUUGGCUCUGGCUCGCAAUAAUUUAAAAAUAGAUAAAUAAUAAUAAGUAUUCGUAUUAGAAUACCGAGAGUUCCGCUUGAAAUUGAAACGGAUUUACAUGGGACAGGAGAAGUGAACCAAUCUUUUUUUUCGUCAAUUGAUCCAACAGCAGUUUAGUUUCAAACUUAGCUUGUACCAGACGUGUACACAUUUUGAGCAUGACGUCUCUGAUCCACUGGUGAAAGGACACUUUGAUUCUCUCCUCUUUCAUCUCGAAUUCCUUCAAACAACAAAGCGUAUUCAGGAAAAGUGGCUAAGAUUGCACCACUGUCCGUGUUUGAUGUUAUGUGUUGUGUUAUAUUAUUUUGUUAUUUUAUAUGAACUGUUGAUGUUAUGUUUAUGUUAAGAAACCUGCCCGGCUGAAAACUAGACCGCGCAUUUACACCGUUUUUUCUUGUGUUGAUGAAUGUGCACUGUCCCAAUGAAAUAAAUAAAUAAAAGAAA